GAAGUGCGAUAAGCAAUGCGAAUUGCAGAAUUCCGCGAAUCAUCAGAUCUUUGAACGCAAAUGGCGCUGGAGGGAUAUCCUUCCAGCAUGUCUGUUUCAGUGUCUGAGAGGUUUCAUACAAAUCUUAAUGUGAUUGAAGGGAGAUCUUGAUUGAUUUAUUUCAUUCAUUAACUCUCUUCUCUCAUGAAAGAUGUGUGAGUGGAUCUUUCGAUCCAAUGAAGUGGUCACAUCACUCGUAUGUGAUUUCAUUGGGAAAUCAUCGAAUUAUCCGCAUACUCACUGUAUCUAUAUUGUUGUGUAAAAAGCAACAAAAAACUUCCAUACCCUGCAUCUGAGAUAGGCAAGAUCACCCGCUGAACUUAA
This 363-nucleotide unclassified non-coding RNA is filed under the name uncultured fungus. RNAcentral describes it as "sequence contains ITS1". The stretch from base 1 to 105 matches the Rfam family "5.8S ribosomal RNA", at positions 50 to 154 of the family's 154-position model. The record is from RNAcentral. Lineage: Eukaryota; Fungi.